This 72-nucleotide transfer RNA is filed under the name Ovis aries (sheep). It matches the Rfam family "tRNA". Rfam says of the family: Transfer RNA (tRNA) molecules are approximately 80 nucleotides in length. Their secondary structure includes four short double-helical elements and three loops (D, anti-codon, and T loops). Lineage: Eukaryota; Metazoa; Chordata; Mammalia; Artiodactyla; Bovidae. The record is from Rfam by way of RNAcentral.
UCCCUGGUGACUUAGACGGUAAAGUGUCUGCCUACAAUGCGGGAGACCCGGGUCCAAUCCCUGGGUCGGGAA